RNAcentral lists this ribosomal RNA (463 nucleotides) under uncultured bacterium. Its description in RNAcentral is "bacterial SSU rRNA". It matches the Rfam family "Bacterial small subunit ribosomal RNA", at positions 28 to 475 of the family's 1533-position model. The record is from RNAcentral.
GACGAACGCNGGCGGCGUGCCUAAUACAUGCAAGUAGAACGCUGAAGGAGGAGCUUGCUUCUCUGGAUGAGUUGCGAACGGGUGAGUAACGCGUAGGUAACCUGCCUGGUAGCGGGGGAUAACUAUUGGAAACGAUAGCUAAUACCGCAUAAUAGCAGUUAUUGCAUGAUAACUGUUUGAAAGGUGCAAUUGCACCACUACCAGAUGGACCUGCGCUGUAUUAGCUAGUUGGUGGGGUAACGGCUCACCAAGGCGACGAUACAUAGCCGACCUGAGAGGGUGAUCGGCCACACUGGGACUGAGACACGGCCCAGACUCCUACGGGAGGCAGCAGUAGGGAAUCUUCGGCAAUGGACGGAAGUCUGACCGAGCAACGCCGCGUGAGUGAAGAAGGUUUUCGGAUCGUAAAGCUCUGUUGUAAGAGAAGAACGAGUGUGAGAGNGGAAAGUUCACACUGNGACGG